This 1464-nucleotide ribosomal RNA is filed under the name uncultured organism. RNAcentral describes it as "SSU rRNA". It matches the Rfam family "Bacterial small subunit ribosomal RNA". The record is from RNAcentral.
AUUGAACGCUGGCGGCAGGCCUAACACAUGCAAGUCGAACGGUAACAGGAAACAGCUUGCUGUUUCGCUGACGAGUGGCGGACGGGUGAGUAAUGUCUGGGAAACUGCCUGAUGGAGGGGGAUAACUACUGGAAACGGUAGCUAAUACCGCAUAACGUCGCAAGACCAAAGAGGGGGACCUUCGGGCCUCUUGCCAUCGGAUGUGCCCAGAUGGGAUUAGCUAGUAGGUGGGGUAACGGCUCACCUAGGCGACGAUCCCUAGCCGGUCUGAGAGGAUGACCAGCCACACUGGAACUGAGACACGGUCCAGACUCCUACGGGAGGCAGCAGUGGGGAAUAUUGCACAAUGGGCGCAAGCCUGAUGCAGCCAUGCCGCGUGUAUGAAGAAGGCCUUCGGGUUGUAAAGUACUUUCAGCGGGGAGGAAGGGAGUAAAGUUAAUACCUUUGCUCAUUGACGUUACCCGCAGAAGAAGCACCGGCUAACUCCGUGCCAGCAGCCGCGGUAAUAUGGAGGGUGCAAGCGUUAAUCGGAAUUACUGGGCGUAAAGCGCACGCAGGCGGUUUGUUAGGUCAGAUGUGAAAUCCCCGGGCUCAACCUGGGAACUGCAUCUGAUACUGGCAAGCUUGAGUCUCGUAGAGGGGGGUAGAAUUCCAGGUGUAGCGGUGAAAUGCGUAGAGAUCUGGAGGAAUACCGGUGGCGAAGGCGGCCCCCUGGACGAAGACUGACGCUCAGGUGCGAAAGCGUGGGGAGCAAACAGGAUUAGAUACCCUGGUAGUCCACGCCGUAAACGAUGUCGACUUGGAGGUUGUGCCCUUGAGGCGUGGCUUCCGGAGCUAACGCGUUAAGUCGACCGCCUGGGGAGUACGGCCGCAAGGUUAAAACUCAAAUGAAUUGACGGGGGCCCGCACAAGCGGUGGAGCAUGUGGUUUAAUUCGAUGCAACGCGAAGAACCUUACCUGGUCUUGACAUCCACGGAAGUUUUCAGAGAUGAGAAUGUGCCUUCGGGAACCGUGAGACAGGUGCUGCAUGGCUGUCGUCAGCUCGUGUUGUGAAAUGUUGGGUUAAGUCCCGCAACGAGCGCAACCCUUAUCCUUUGUUGCCAGCGGUCCGGCCGGGAACUCAAAGGAGACUGCCAGUGAUAAACUGGAGGAAGGUGGGGAUGACGUCAAGUCAUCAUGGCCCUUACGACCAGGGCUACACACGUGCUACAAUGGCGCAUACAAAGAGAAGCGACCUCGCGAGAGCAAGCGGACCUCAUAAAGUGCGUCGUAGUCCGGAUUGGAGUCUGCAACUCGACUCCAUGAAGUCGGAAUCGCUAGUAAUCGUGGAUCAGAAUGCCACGGUGAAUACGUUCCCGGGCCUUGUACACACCGCCCGUCACACCAUGGGAGUGGGUUGCAAAAGAAGUAGGUAGCUUAACCUUCGGGAGGGCGCUUACCACUUUGUGAUUCAUGACUGGGGUG